CGCGUAGGCGGUCUUGUAAGUCAGGUGUGAAAGCCCGGGGCUUAACCCCGGAAGUGCACUUGAAACUAUAAGACUUGAGUAUGGGAGAGGGAAGUGGAAUUCCUGGUGUAGCGGUGAAAUGCGUAGAUAUCAGGAGGAACACCGGUGGCGAAGGCGACUUCCUGGACCAAUACUGACGCUGAGGCGCGAAGGCGUGGGGAGCAAACA
This 207-nucleotide ribosomal RNA is filed under the name uncultured bacterium. Its description in RNAcentral is "partial 16S ribosomal RNA". It matches the Rfam family "Bacterial small subunit ribosomal RNA", at positions 568 to 774 of the family's 1533-position model. The record is from RNAcentral.